This 850-nucleotide ribosomal RNA is filed under the name uncultured bacterium. RNAcentral's name for it is "bacterial SSU rRNA". It matches the Rfam family "Bacterial small subunit ribosomal RNA", at positions 49 to 892 of the family's 1533-position model. The record is from RNAcentral.
CGCUACCUGCAGUCGACGGUAGCACAGAGAGCUUGCUCUCGGGUGACGAGUGGCGGACGGGUGAGUAAUGUCUGGGAAACUGCCUGAUGGAGAGGGAUAACUACUGGAAACGGUAGCUAAUACCGCAUAACGUCGCAAGACCAAAGAGGGGGACCUUCGGGCCUCUUGCCAUCAGAUGUGCCCAGAUGGGAUUAGCUAGUAGGUGGGGUAACGGCUCACCUAGGCGACGAUCCCUAGCUGGUCUGAGAGGAUGACCAGCCACACUGGAACUGAGACACGGUCCAGACUCCUACGGGAGGCAGCAGUGGGGAAUAUUGCACAAUGGGCGCAAGCCUGAUGCAGCCAUGCCGCGUGUAUGAAGAAGGCCUUCGGGUUGUAAAGUACUUUCAGCGGGGAGGAAGGUGUUGUGGUUAAUAACCGCAGCAAUUGACGUUACCCGCAGAAGAAGCACCGGCUAACUCCGUGCCAGCAGCCGCGGUAAUACGGAGGGUGCAAGCGUUAAUCGGAAUUACUGGGCGUAAAGCGCACGCAGGCGGUCUGUCAAGUCGGAUGUGAAAUCCCCGGGCUCAACCUGGGAACUGCAUUCGAAACUGGCAGGCUAGAGUCUUGUAGAGGGGGGUAGAAUUCCAGGUGUAGCGGUGAAAUGCGUAGAGAUCUGGAGGAAUACCGGUGGCGAAGGCGGCCCCCUGGACAAAGACUGACGCUCAGGUGCGAAAGCGUGGGGAGCAAACAGGAUUAGACACCCUGGUAGUCCACGCCGUAAACGAUGUCGACUUGGAGGUUGUGCCCUUGAGGCGUGGCUUCCGGAGCUAACGCGUUAAGUCGACCGCCUGGGGAGUACGGCCGCAAG